AGUGAACGCUGGCGGUAGGCCUAACACAUGCAAGUCGAACGGCAGCACAGUAAGAGCUUGCUCUUACGGGUGGCGAGUGGCGGACGGGUGAGGAAUACAUCGGAGUCUACUUUUUCGUGGGGGAUAACGUAGGGAAACUUACGCUAAUACCGCAUACGACCUACGGGUGAAAGCAGGGGAUCUUCGGACCUUGCGCGAUUGAAUGAGCCGAUGUCGGAUUAGCUAGUUGGCGGGGUAAAGGCCCACCAAGGCGACGACCCGUAGCUGGUCUGAGAGGAUGAUCAGCCACACUGGAACUGAGACACGGUCCAGACUCCGACGGGAGGCAGCAGUGGGGAAUAUUGGACAAUGGGCGCAAGCCUGAUCCAGCCAUACCGCGUGGGUGAAGAAGGCCUUCGGGUUGUAAAGCCCUUUUGUUGGGAAAGAAAAGCAGCAGGUUAAUACCCCGCUGUUCUGACGGUACCCAAAGAAUAAGCACCGGCUAACUUCGU
Molecule: ribosomal RNA, 491 nt
Filed under: uncultured bacterium
Lineage: Bacteria
Description: partial 16S ribosomal RNA
Rfam family: Bacterial small subunit ribosomal RNA
Source: RNAcentral